CCCUCUGACUGGUCCAACCGCCUCUGUAACGCCUGUGGGUCCAGCUGUGUCUGGAGUUGUUGGGCGUAAAGCGCUGGUUGUCGGUGGGUGUAGUCUGCCGUGAAAGCUUGCAGCUCAACUGUAGCCGUGCGUUCGAAACGGUCAUCACUGGGGUUCGGGAGGGGAGACUGGAAUUCCUGGUGUAGCGGUGAAAUGGGCAGAUAUCAGGAGGAACACCGGUGGCGAAGGCGGGUCUCUGGGCCGAUACUGACGCUGAGGAGCGAAAGCGUGGGGAGCGAACAGGAUUAGAUACCCUGUAGUC
This 301-nucleotide ribosomal RNA is filed under the name uncultured Gordonia sp. Its description in RNAcentral is "bacterial SSU rRNA". It matches the Rfam family "Bacterial small subunit ribosomal RNA", at positions 493 to 795 of the family's 1533-position model. Lineage: Bacteria; Bacillati; Actinomycetota; Actinomycetes; Mycobacteriales; Gordoniaceae. The record is from RNAcentral.